This 813-nucleotide long non-coding RNA is filed under the name Helianthus annuus (common sunflower). RNAcentral's name for it is "sRNA HanXRQr2_Chr12g0550891". Lineage: Eukaryota; Viridiplantae; Streptophyta; Magnoliopsida; Asterales; Asteraceae. The record is from RNAcentral.
UUGGUUUAUAAUCAAAUAAUGAUGUUUUUCAUUAUUCACGUUUUCCCCUAAACAUACCCCUAAUGGCGACGACACCGGGCAUAUGAUUCUAGCUGCCGAUCUUCAUCUUCCUCUGAUCUACCUUUUCAUUUGCUCCUGUCAUUAACAUAUAACAUCUUUGCUUUGUAUUAAUUAUCUCCACUUGAUUUCAUGUUAAUAAUUGUUGUGUAUGUUUGUUAGGGUUUUUCCAAUCCUAUUCUCUAUUUUGCCCAAAUCAAGAUAAGGGUUCUUUUAUUUUCGAUCAACGUUUAUUAUAUAAUGCAUCUAUCAAAGUAGCAAAUAUGUUAUUUUUUGGUUUCAAGUUCUCGGUUUCGCUUUAAUAAGGCCGAAUAACCGACCUGGAAAACCCGAGCCCGGACUGAAAUGCUUGCAGAUAAGAUUCAUGGGAAAAUAAGUGAAGGUGACUUGCUUUAUCAACUAGGUGAUUCAUGCACCAACAGCACUGUUGCAUCUGCUGCAAGCUAACAGGAGAAGGCUCUACACAAAGCCUAGACCAAAACCCAAAAAAGCACUAGAAAUGUUGCUGUUGCAAAGAUCUGGAAGCUUUUAGGCGAGCGGUUGCUACUCAAAGACACCUCGAAUGAUUCUGUUGUCUACAUAAAAGAUCAAAGAUAUCAUGUUAAGGUGAGCCGAAUCAGUGAUUUGUUAAGGCAACUUACUAACAGUUGAAAAGCAAUUAUACUAAUAUGAGAAGUAAGAUAUCAGUUAAUGUUUUCUACAUGUCAGACUGUAUUACGUUAAUAUGUUAUUUUAUUUAAUUAUAAUCUAAAGCUU